AUGGAAUUCCAUGGAAUUGCCCGGAAUUCCGGGAAUUCCCGGCUCCUACCUGUCAGGGAAGGUCAUUCCGGGAUGAGCCGGAGCCGAGGAUCCUGCGGGAAGAGACGGGAGGAGAAUCCCUGGAAUUCCAACAUUCCCGAGGAAAUUCCGGGAUGGAAAAACUCCGCCCACCCCCGGCCGGGAACAGCCCUGGGAUUUGGGAAUUCUGUGAAAAUCGGGAAUCCUGGGGUUGGGAAUUGGGAUAAAAUCAGUGAUUCCCAUAAAAUCCCGGGAUUUUUCCGUGUUUUCCAGCAGAAUUCCCGGGAAAGGAGGAUCCCGCGGGAUCGCGGCGCAGGAGGCGCCUCCGGAGCUUCCCAAGGAUUUUUCCCACGGAUCUGGAAGUUCCAGAUUCCCAAAAAAUUCCCCUCUGGAAGAGCCGGGCUGGGUGGGAGCAAUCCCAGAUUUCCAGGAAUUCCCGGAUUUUCCCGAGGAAUUCCCGAGGUUUGGAUCCCAGCAGGAUCCGGAGGAUUCCCAGGAUUUGCCCCCGGAUCCGGCCCCGCCCGAGGCUUUUCCCGGGAAUUUGGGAUUGGGGAGCUUCAAUCCAAGAAUCCCUGGAAAAACGGGAUUUGGAGGGAAUUCCUUGGGAAGCAGCAGAAUCCCGGGAAUUCCAACAUCGGAUUCCACCCGAUUCCGAUGGAUCCCGGAAUUCCAGAGCCUCCAUUUGUGCCUUUUCCAUGGGAAAAACGGGAAUUCUGGAGCGACUUUUCCAUGGAAUUCCCAUGGACAGGACCCUGGGAUUCCCUCUGGGAUCAAAUCCUGCUUUUUUUUUUGGGAAAAUCCAAGAAUUCCCAGUUUUUUUCCCUUCCUUUGGUUCAUCCUGUGAAUUCCUCGGGCACCGAAAUCCAUGGAAUUCCCAGAUUUCCCGUCAUUCCCGGUUUUUCUGGACCGGAAGCAGCUCCUGGAGCCUUUGGCCGUUCCCGGGGUUUUCCGGCUGCUCCGGAAUUCCGGGAAUUCCAGCGGGAAUUAACGGAGCUGAGCCGGAGCUGCUCCUGGUUAAGAGGAUCUGGGAAAAUCCCAGAAAAUCCUUUGGAAUUUGGAGCUGCCCCGGUCGCUUUUCCCGGGAGUUUGGGAAGUUCUGAGGAUCCGGGAGAGCCGGAAUUCCCUGGUUUUUACUGGAAAAUCCUGGAAAAGUUUGGGAUUUGUGGGAAAAGCUGGAGAAGGAAAAAGCUGGGAUGGUGGGAAUAUUCCCGGCCGAUCCCUGAGCUCCUUCCCACCCCAAAGCAUCCCGGAAUUCCAGGAAUCCAUGGAAAAACAGGGAUUUAUUCCCUUCCAGGAUUCACCUCCGGCCUUGCAAUUCCAGCAGCAACAUCCCAGGUUUGGCUCUGGAAUUCUGGGAUUCGAAACAUUCCCAGAACAUCCUGA
This 1401-nucleotide long non-coding RNA is filed under the name Parus major (Great Tit). RNAcentral describes it as "lncRNA (ENSPMJG00000001860.1)". The record is from RNAcentral. Lineage: Eukaryota; Metazoa; Chordata; Aves; Passeriformes; Paridae.